CCCGGGCCCGGCGCCUGUCGGAUGCCCGGCGUGCGGUCUCCCUCCCGCCGGGGUCGGGGUCGGGCCGCUCGGCAGGCGGUGCGCGGGGGCGAGGCUGCAGGUGGGAGCAAGGGGCUGUCCCGCCUCCCGAGGGGUGGGAAGGCCUGGAGACUCACGGCUCUUCCUGUCGCGGAGCUUCCCCGCCUGGCGCGGGGGCAGUACGUUCGCGUGUGAAGGAUGCAGGAUGCUGAGCCCCCGCGGUGACCGCGGCCCGAGCCUGUUUCCGUGUCUGCAAAACGGUGAUGAGCUUUUUAAAGGAGCGCUCGGCAUGACUCUUUGGGCGGAAGAAAUGCCCCCAAAUGAUAGCUAUUAUCCGGGAGGCACAGAUAGGAUGGUAAUGACAGCCGUGAGACUUCAGAUCAAACCACGACCUCCUUGGAGGAGCCCAGGACGGACUUGGACAGUUUUUCAACCUCAAACGGUUGCCGGUGUGGCGGGCGUGUUGCGAGGGCUGGAGCAGCGGCUGUGGACGUGCGUGUUGCUUGUUGGCCUCGUGCCCGUCCAGCCUGGCUUAGAGUGAGACAUCCGUGGGGCUGCAGUGGAAAUGUCAGGAAACCAGAACUCCCUUAGAGGUGCCUUCUGUGUGCACCCACCCCUUCCCCACCCGCCGGGAGCUGCUGGAGGAGACGUUUCCAGCUGCAAGCUUCUGCCUUCCUUGUCCGUGCUCUCUCUCGGGGCGCCAUCCAAGAUGCAAGACCCCACAUGCCAUCUGCUUUCUCCCUGUGUAUCCGCUCUGGCCCAGCCUCCCACCUUUCCUCUCCACUGCUCCCUGGUUAACAGCUCCGUGUGUGCACAACCGCACUCGCACCUCCUUACCUGACUUGACACCCCGCAUCGUCUGGCUGUACCCCUCUUCUCCUCAUUCCACAGUCCCCCUCACUGGGUGAAGACUGAGGUCUGUCCUCACCUCUUGCAGUCCCUCUGUCCAAACAGGUUCCGCCAUCCUCUGGGAUGUCAGUGUCCGCAGGGACUUGCUCUGCCCUUGCCUUCCUCAUCUGCAGAGAUUUCUCCCCCUAAAGCACCCCUCCCCAGACGCCCCCGAUCACAUCCAAGAACUCCUCCCCUUGAAAGCUUUCUGACUGUGUUUGCUGCCUCCCCCUCAGUGGAGUGGCAUUUGGUUGACCACACUGCUUUGGGGGACCACCCCUCUCCCUCGCUUCUCUGUAGUUGAGUUGGCAGGUCCCCACUGCCUGACGCCAACACUAGUCACCAAAAUCAGGCAGUCGGAGCCAGUGAGCAUCAGGCCUGGGCCUUUGGGGCAAGAGAGGCCCUCAUGUCUCUGAUCGUCAAGGCAGGUGUGGUCAGAAGACGGGGGUAUACCCUGAUGAAAAAACGUGAUAGAGAAUGAAGCAGUCUGGAAGAAACCUGAGCCAAAAGAUAAAGUGAGAACAGUGUCGUGGUUCUUUAAAAGACUAGGCAGAGAAUUACCAUAUGACCCAGCAAUUCUGCUUCUGGGUGUGUGCCCAAAAAGAAAUGAAAGCAGGAACUUGAGACACUUGUAUCUCCAUAUUCAUAGCAGCAUUACCCACAAUGGCCAAAAGGUGGAAGCAGCCCAGUGUCCACUGAUGGAUGAACGGGUACACGAAAUGUGCUGUAUAUGUACAGUGGAAUAGUAUUCAGCCUUAAAAAAGGAAGGGAAUUCUGCCAAAUGCUAUGAUGUGGAUGACCCUUGAAGACUGUGCUCAGUGAAAUAAGCCAGUCACAAAAGGACAAAUAAUAUAUGAUUCCACUCACAGGAGGUCCCUAGAGGAGUCACAUUCACAGAGACAAAGUGGAAUCAUGGGGGUCAGGGGCUGGGGGAGGGGUCUUUAAUGGGGACAGAGCUUCAGUUUGGGAAGAUGAGAAGCUUCUGGAGAUGGAUGGUGGGGAUGGCUGCACAGCAGUGUGAAUGUGCUAAAUGCCACUGGACUGUAUACUUAGAAAUAGUUAAAAUGAUAAAUUUUGUGUAUUUUUUGACACUUUUUAAAACUAAAAUAAGAAGAUGGAGCAAAAAGUGAAACCAAGGCACAGCCACAUCAUUUGAGCCCCAGGAUGUUGCGACUUGUUGGGGAAACACGCACAUAGCCACAAACAUUGAGGCUGUCGUUCGGGCCGUGCGUAGGACCCCAGGCCCCUUGAGUCGGUCAUCUCUGCCUGCCGGGACCCUUGUGGCACCCUCACAUCCCUGCUGCUCUUGCUCUUCCCAUGGAGCAGUGUCUGCGGCUUUUGCCUGUUGGGCCUCCACUCCCUCUUUGUUCUGAGGACCAAGACUUGCCUUUGGGGAGCCGCCUCUCCCCCGCUUUAUUCCUGCCUCCCAACGUCUGCCCUGGGCCUCACCCAUCAGAACCCCACUUCUCCCUCGGCCCAGUGACUGGUUCAGCGAUGGCGUUUCACAAAACGGGCCCAAGGAGAGGCAGCUCUGGGACUGCUUGUGAUCGUCUGAGAAAGAGCUGGGUCUUUCUGCUGGGGCCGCUGGGCUGGGAGGAUGUAAGCCCAGGGUAUACAGCUCGAUGUGUCCUUUCACGUUACUCCACUCAUUCAUUCAAGCGCCCUCACCUCAGGGCCUUUGUGCUGGCUGUUCCCUCUGCCUGAAAUGCCCUUCCCUCAGUCUUCACAGCUCCCUCCCUACCUCUCUCAGCUCUCUGCCCUGUGUCACCUCCUCAGAGAGACCCACCUGCCCUAACCACCAUGUUCUAUUUCUUCCAAGUGUUUAUCACUACCUACUCUAUAUUUAGUUAUUUGUUAUGUCUCCCUUACUCCCUUGGUGAAGUCUGAGAUGGGGAAACACAGUUCUUGUUCACUCCCGUAUAUCUAGCCACGAAGUGCCUGGCUUAGAGGCCUGGGAAAAUCAAGAGUGAAUGAGUGAGUGGACGUGUCAGCCACCACACCUGCCCCCCACUGUGCCCAAGGCAGUUCGGCCUCAUGGAUAGGUGAGCCAGAAGGGAGCUCCCCCCAUUCCCCUUAAUCCACUUUGAGGUCUAGCAUCCGCAGUCCUAAGUGCAUAGCUUGGUAAAUGCUUACAGAGUCUACAUCUGUGCAAGCACCACCCCAGUCAAGGUAAGGAACAUUGUCACCACCCCAGAAUGUUCCCUCUGCUCUCUGUAGCCAAUUCCCGGCCCUCUUGUUACAUCACCAGGAUUCACUUUACCUAUUCUAGAAUGUUCCAGAAUUGGAAGCAUCCAGCAUGAACUUCUUUGUGUCUGUUAGUUGCCUGGGCCACUGAGCUUUCUGGCGGCCUGUACCUGGCCAGCACGCCUGUGCCUGCACCCCUCGUUUCUAAAAGGGCAGCGGGGCCCCUCCUGGCCUGGCCUCGCUCCACAUUCUCUGGAUCCGUAGCUCUCAGAGUAGCAGACCACGAAUAUGGACGCUGGCCAACGCAAGCAGAAAAGAAUUUGAGGACAGCCUGCUGCUAACAGACCUCCAGGAGGGCCAGGAGGAGCUGGCCUUGAAGGCUGGGCAGUCCGAAGCAGCUGCCGGGGACACAGUGACACCACCAUGCCCUGGCCCUGCCCUGGGGAGGCGGACAAGAAUCAAGCAGAGUGUGUGCUGUGUCCCAUGGUGGCGAGUGUGGUGGACAAAAAGAAAACCAGGGCUGCCAAGCUGGGGCAGGCGAUUUUAAGUCAGGCGGCGCCCGGGAAAGUCACGGGGAGCUGAGGGACUGAGGCCAAGCCGACUGCUGGGAGAAGAGCCUUCCAGGCAGAGGAAACAGCCGGUGCAAAGUCCCACAGCUUCCACCCUCUCCGCAUGCUCCGCUCUGAGCUGCUGGCCGCCUGAUUUCACAAGGAGAUAGUCACUCCCAGCCGUGUCCUCCCGCCACCGCCACCGCAGCCACCAGCACCUGUGGCGCCUUCCACAUAGCUCUGGGCACCCCCUGUGGCUCUCUCCUCCCCAGGCCUCACCUCGCCUCUCUCGACACUCACCCACAGGCGACCCCAGCCAGUCCCUCAACUUAAGGCCAUCAGAGCACUGAGCCCUUCCGUUGCCUCCCUCCAGCCUGGCUUUCCCCCCUGAGGUCCAGACGCACGUAUCUGACCAUCUAUAUCACAGCUUCCUUUGGAGAUUUUGUAUAAAGUGGGUGCAAAAUAAACCCACCUGCCUGGAUCCCUUCCAUCCAUGUUAUUGUUUCUUUGCAUCUCUACAAGCGUUUUGUCUGCUUUUGCACAAGCGCCG
RNAcentral lists this long non-coding RNA (4188 nucleotides) under Equus asinus (donkey). RNAcentral's name for it is "lncRNA (ENSEASG00005023939.1)". Lineage: Eukaryota; Metazoa; Chordata; Mammalia; Perissodactyla; Equidae. The record is from RNAcentral.